UACAGAGGGUGCGAGCGUUAAUCGGAGUUACUGGGCGUAAAGGGCGCGUAGGCGGUUAUAUGAGUGUGAUGUGAAAGCCUUGGGCUUAACCUGAGAAGUGCAUCGCAAACGAUAUAGCUGGAGUAGAUGAGAGGGUGGUGGAAUUUCCGGUGUAGCGGUGAAAUGCGUAGAGAUCGGAAGGAACGUCAAUGGCGAAGGCAGCCACCUGGCAUCAUACUGACGCUGAGGCGCGAAAGCGUGGGGAGCGAACAGG
Molecule: unclassified non-coding RNA, 253 nt
Filed under: uncultured Gammaproteobacteria bacterium
Lineage: Bacteria; Pseudomonadati; Pseudomonadota; Gammaproteobacteria
Description: contains 16S-23S intergenic spacer region
Rfam family: Bacterial small subunit ribosomal RNA
Source: RNAcentral